RNAcentral lists this transfer RNA (30 nucleotides) under Barbeya oleoides. RNAcentral describes it as "partial tRNA-His". The record is from RNAcentral. Lineage: Eukaryota; Viridiplantae; Streptophyta; Magnoliopsida; Rosales; Barbeyaceae.
GAGUGGACCAUCAGAUCUUGGCUCAUCCGC